UAUCAAAUGAAGAAUAUCUUUGUUUACAUGGGUCCGAAGAAGCAGGAAACGCUUCAAUUUGAUUAGUUUAGAAAUGAUCUAGGCACGUUUUCUUGUUGAAUCACUUUGCAAACAAUGAAAAACGAUCCAAUUGUCUUGUUUAGUUAGAUCUUUGGAGCAUGGUGAUGGUGUCAGCUUGCUACGAUGGUAGCUAGCUAGCUAGCUAUCUCCACGUUAGCAACAAUCAGUCGCUAGCUAAACAGCUCACGGAGGACGACUGUCUAUGAUAUUUGACCUCCGAUGUUAUUAAGAUAUUAAAAUAUUUAUAAAAGUAAAGAAAAAAAAUGGAUAUCAGUCUAACAGUUUCCCUAAUGCAGGGCCAGAUGGGUACCGUGAUAGAGAGAGCGGUGAGUGCCGCUGUUGAGACGGUGUUAGGGGAGAUGCUGAAGGUGGUCGGUAUUAAAUUCGACGAGCUGAAGAGGGAGGUCGCAGCAAAAGAAAAAGAGACCGAGAGCAUCAGACAGAUGCUGGACAAAUCCCGAUCUCAGAUGAAGACAAUGCGGAAGUACAUGAACGCUCUGGGUGCCAGGCAGCAGGAGCACUCUGCCACUUACCAGACCAACCAGAGUACAGCAUUCGGUCAUUCGGAUCCGCAUAGACCUCACUGUUCCUCAGCGGCUGCAUCCGAGGCAGCGCAGUCCUCUGGUUUAUCACAACCACAGAGAAGGACGGUUACCAACACCCACAUUGCCAUUACAAAUGGAAACGUACAGUCAAGGAAUCACAUCACUAUCGCUCUACCCUCUGAUAACUUGGCCAGAUCCUCCCAACCUUCUGAGAAUAUUAUAAGGGCCACAUCAUCAUCGUCGUUUGACAGCCACGAUGACCUGACUGCCACGGUCUCACAAGCUCUGGAGAGCCCAUCAUUGAUCACCACUGUCUCUGCAAUAAACAGUUCAUCAGAGCACCUGGAACCUUUGAAAGAGGAGCCCCCAGCAUCCCUGGACCCCGAGGUGUCUGAUGAGAGCCAGAGGAGGGAGGAGGAAGAAGAGUGUCAGGCUGAGUGGACCAUCAUUACACAGCCACCAGAGACCAGCACAGACCCUGGGGACCAGCUGGUCCUCUCCCCACCCAGGACUGACGGAGCAGAGUGCUUUGCCACCAUGGCUGCUGGGAGUGCCCAGCCUCGGCUCCAGGUGAAAGAGGAGGAGGCCGAGGUGGAGAUCAUCUGUAUCAAGCAGGAACCGGAGGACGUUGAGAGUUUGCUGUUCAACCUGGCUGCUGAGGUCCUCAACUCCCAGGGCAACCUUUUAGACAGGCACACUCAGGGGAGCCUCCUGGACUGUCACAGGACAGUACCCUCACAGGGCCAGAGAGAGAGGACAGUACCCUCACAGGGCCAGAGAGAGAGGACAGCAUCCCUUUCCUCACAGAGCCAGAGGACAUUAACAGAGCACACAGUGUUCAGCUCAGCCAGCCCUUGUACAUAUGGGCUGUCCCAGCCAGUGAUGUCCAUGUCACGCGGAGUUGCUCCCAGGCCAAUGGUCCGUCCGUGGCCCAAAGACCUGAGUCUGUACGAGGAGUUUAAAAUGAGACGAAGUGAGCUGAGGAGGAGGAGCCAGACCCGUCGGAGGGAGAUGGAGAAGAACCUUCCCCAGCCUCUAUUAGCUGACCUGGUGAAGGAGAGACGAGAGAAGACCCGGCUCAGAGUGGCCCGCUGGAGAGCCAAGAGGAAGCUGCAGGCCUGCCAACUGACUCAGAUGAGCCAGACACAACACCAGGCUGGACCUGGUCUGGGCCAGGGGAACAGUGGGCUGGCGAAUCAUAGCCCGAUUAGCCAACACACACAGCACAAAACCACAGGCCCCACUCAGACUCCGCAGAGGAACCGUGCUGCCCUCUCUCAAUCGCAGUACAACAACAGUUUUUUGUACAACAGAAGUCACUGUGAGACUGGGGCUGGUAACGUUAACUACCCUCCUCUCCAGUUCAACUCCUCCUCUCUAAUGCUGGGACAACAUGGAGGACACGAUAUGGAGCCUGUCAUGAAAUCAUCCUCACAGCAGGGCCUCUCACUGACUGACUCAGAGCUCUACCAGUAACAGGAGAACAACAGUACCAGGUCUACUCUACAGGAGAACAACAUUACCAGUUCUACUCUACAGGAGAACAACAGUACCAGGUCUACUCUACCAGUAACAGGAGAACAACAGUACCAGUUCUACUCUACAGGAGAACAACAGUACCAGUUCUACUCUACCAGUAACAGGAGAACAACAGUACCAGGUCUACUCUACAGGAGAACAACAUUACCAGUUCUACUCUACAGGAGAACAACAUUACCAGUUCUACUCUACAGGAGAUCAACAUUGCCAGUUCUACUCUACAGGAGAACAACAGUACCAGGUCUACUCUACAGGAGAACAACAUUACCAGUUCUACUCUACAGGAGAACAACAGUACCAGGUCUACUCUACAGGAGAACAACAUUACCAGUUCUACUCUACAGGAGAACAACAUUACCAGUUCUACUCUACAGGAGAACAACAUUACCAGUUCUACUCUACAGGAGAACAACAUUACCAGUUCUACUCUACAGGAGAUCAACAUUGCCAGUUCUACUCUACAGGAGAACAACAGUACCAGUUCUACUCUACCAGUAACAGGAGAACAACAGUACCAGUUCUACUCUACAGGAGAUCAACAGUACCAGUUCUACUCUACAGGAGAACAACAGUACCAGUUCUACUCUACCAGUAACAGGAGAACAACAGUACCAGUUCUACUCUACAGGAGAACAACAGUACCAGGUCUACUCUACCAGUAACAGGAGAACAACGGUACCAGUUCUACUCUACAGGAGAACAACAUUACCAGUUCUACUCUACCAGUAACAGGAGAACAACAGUACCAGUUCUACUCUACCAGUAACAGGAGAACAACAGUACCAGGUCUACUCUACCAGUAACAGGAGAACAACGGUACCAGUUCUACUCUACAGGAGAUCAACAGUACCAGGUCUACUCUACCAGUAACAGGAUAACAACAGUACCAGUUCUACUCUACAGGAGAUCAACAGUACCAGUUCUACUCUACCAGUAACAGGAGAACAACAGUACCAGUUCUACUCUACAGGAGAACAACAGUACCAGGUCUACUCUACCAGUAACAGGAGAACAACAGUACCAGGUCUACUCUACAGGAGAACAACAGUACCAGGUCUACUCUACAGGAGAACAACAGUACCAGGUCUACUCUACAGGAGAACAACAGUACCAGGUCUACUCUACAGGAGAACAACAGUACCAGUUCUACUCUACCAGUAACAGGAGAACAACAGUACCAGGUCUACUCUACAGGAGAACAACAGUACCAGUUCUACUCUACCAGUAACAGGAGAACAACAGUACCAGGUCUACUCUACAGGAGAACAACAGUACCAGGUCUACUCUACCAGUAACAGGAGAACAACAGUACCAGUUCUACUCUACCAGUAACAGGAGAACAACAGUACCAGGUCUACUCUACAGGAGAACAACAGUACCAGUUCUACUCUACCAGUAACAGGAGAACAACAGUACCAGGUCUACUCUACCAGUAACAGGAGAACAACAGUACCAGGUCUACUCUACAGGAGAACAACAGUACCAGGUCUACUCUACAGGAGAUCAACAGUACCAGGUCUACUCUACCAGUAACAGGAGAACAACAGUACCAGGUCUACUCUACCAGUAACAGGAGAACAACAGUACCAGGUCUACUCUACAGGAGAACAACAGUACCAGGUCUACUCUACAGGAGAACAACAGUACCAGGUCUACUCUACAGGAGAACAACAGUACCAGGUCUACUCUACAGGAGAACAACAGUACCAGGUCUACUCUACAGGAGAACAACAUUACCAGUUCUACUCUACCAGUAACAGGAGAACAACAGUACCAGGUCUACUCUACAGGAGAACAACAGUACCAGGUCUACUCUACAGGAGAACAACAGUACCAGGUCUACUCUACCAGUAACAGGAGAACAACAGUACCAGGUCUACUCUACCAGUAACAGGAGAACAACAGUACCAGGUCUACUCUACAGGAGAACAACAGUACCAGGUCUACUCUACAGGAGAACAACAGUACCAGGUCUACUCUACCAGUAACAGGAGAACAACAGUACCAGGUCUACUCUACCAGUAACAGGAGAACAACAGUACCAGGUCUACUCUACAGGAGAACAACAGUACCAGGUCUACUCUACAGGAGAACAACAGUACCAGGUCUACUCUACAGGAGAACAACAGUACCAGGUCUACUCUACAGGAGAACAACAGUACCAGUUCUACUCUACCAGUAACAGGAGAACAACAGUACCAGGUCUACUCUACAGGAGAACAACAGUACCAGGUCUACUCUACAGGAGAACAACAGUACCAGGUCUACUCUACCAGUAACAGGAGAACAACAGUACCAGGUCUACUCUACCAGUAACAGGAGAACAACAGUACCAGGUCUACUCUACCAGUAACAGGAGAACAACAGUACCAGGUCUACUCUACCAGUAACAGGAGAACAACAGUACCAGGUCUACUCUACCAGUAACAGGAGAACAACAGUACCAGGUCUACUCUACCAGUAACAGGAGAUCCAAUCAGAGGACACUUGUGUUGUAAGGAUUCUAUUCCCUAUGUGGUGCUCUACUUUGGACAAGGGCCUUUUUGGCUUCCUAGGGAAUACUUUGACUUAUGGGACACAACCUAUUACUUCUGGCUAAUAACAU
Oncorhynchus mykiss (rainbow trout) is the source of this 4749-nucleotide non-coding RNA. Lineage: Eukaryota; Metazoa; Chordata; Actinopteri; Salmoniformes; Salmonidae. The record is from RefSeq and is a predicted model, not a curated record.